UUAUAUAACUUAUAUAUGAAACACGCUUACACCGGAAAUACUCCCGUAUUGCGUACCAGUAUCCAUGCUCCAUACGAAUAUACUUUGUAUAUAGGUUUUAUCUAUAGAAUGGAUACUGCUAAAUAUGUGUAUGUGGACUUGUGUUGUUUCUACUCAAUUUGUACUUGCUUACUUAAUAUAUUCUCCCAAUUUUGUUCCCUCCUGUUUGCCUCCUCUGCCCUCUCGCCCCCUCUCGCCCAUAAAUGUGUCUGUUUAAUUUUGUGUACCGACAUAUUUUGAAUUUGAUAAUUUUGCAUUUACUACUUAUAUGCGUACAGGGGUUUUCUGUUGGGUAUGUUCCGCUGGGCAGUCGACUUGGUGGCAUGAUUUGCCCAGUCCUGCUUAGUCAAUGUGGCAGUAGAAAAAAGAACUUAGCAAAGUUAGCUAUCAAAGGUUACAAUGAAGAAAACGGCAGCACAUACAUACAAGUUUGUCAAGCUCAUUCGAGUAAAUUUCAGUGCCGUUGGCGGUGUGCUGAAUUUUAUAACCUUUCAGGCCAAGGAUGGGAAGCCUGGUUCUCAUCCCCAGAACUUCCAGACUCGGGUGUACCAAUGUAUAGAAAAGACAGAGGUCCAAUUCUGCAGGCUUGAACAAAAGAAAUCCACGCUACCUGAAGUUUAACUACUGCAGGUAGUUUAUUAGAAUCAUUGGAUUUCGAGUAUGGUAAAGUAGCUCCUGGGUGAGGAACAACUCCAUUCCUUAUAAAACGGCAAGGAUGCGCACGAAUACUAUAUUCGCUUUACCUGAAAGUAACUAUUUCAUUUUUCUGUCUCCUGCACAUGAAAUUUGUACAUAAAUCUAUGUUUAAAAUGAAUAAAGUUUGUGUUGCAUCCAAAACAACACUAACUGGAAUGCAUCUUUGACCGAAUUUUUUCUUUGCGCUUGGCUAUUAUUGUCGUAAAAUAGAACAUUUACAUGAACCGCUAAACUCAUGUAGCAUAUAUAAUGUAUCUGCGAAAAAAGAAAAAGAGAAAUGCCUGAAUGUUUAAUAAGGCAACAUA
RNA transcript from Rhododendron vialii, 1040 nucleotides. RefSeq lists it as uncharacterized. The record is from RefSeq and is a predicted model, not a curated record. The transcript has 3 exons. Lineage: Eukaryota; Viridiplantae; Streptophyta; Magnoliopsida; Ericales; Ericaceae.